UGGAAACGAUAGCUAAUACCGCAUAACAAUGGAUGACACAUGUCAUUUAUUUUGUAAAAGGGGGCGAAAUUGCUCCACUACAAGAUGGACCUGCGUUGUAUUAGCUAGUAGGUGAGGUAAUGGCUCACCUAGGCGACGAUACAUAGCCGACCUGAGAGGGUGAUCGGCCACACUGGGACUGAGACACGGCCCAGACUCCUACGGGAGGCAGCAUG
RNAcentral lists this ribosomal RNA (215 nucleotides) under uncultured bacterium. RNAcentral describes it as "partial 16S ribosomal RNA". It matches the Rfam family "Bacterial small subunit ribosomal RNA", at positions 151 to 353 of the family's 1533-position model. The record is from RNAcentral.